GGAGUUAGCCGGUGCUUCUUCUGUGAGUGAUGUCCUUCCUGCCGGCUAUUAACCCGCAGGCCUUCUUCCUCACUGAAAGUGCUUUACAACCCGAAGGCCUUCUUCACACACGCGGCAUGGCUGGAUCAGGGUUGCCCCCAUUGUCCAAUAUUCCCCACUGCUGCCUCCCGUAGGAGUCUGGGCCGUGUCUCAGUCCCAGUGUGGCUGAUCAUCCUCUCAGACCAGCUACGGAUCGUCGCCUUGGUGAGCCGUUACCUCACCAACCAGCUAAUCCGACAUAGGCUCAUCCGAUAGCGCGAGGCCCGAAGGUCCCCCGCUUUCCCCCGUAGGGCGUAUGCGGUAUUAGCCUGGGUUUCCCCAGGUUAUCCCCCACUACCGGGCAGAUUCCUAUGCAUUACUCACCCGUCCGCCGCUCGCCACCAGGAGCAAGCUCCCCGUGCUGCCGCUCGACUUGCAUGUGUAGCUCGCCGCCACGCGUCAUCUGACGCCACUAACUACAACUACUCGA
RNAcentral lists this ribosomal RNA (508 nucleotides) under uncultured bacterium. RNAcentral's name for it is "partial 16S ribosomal RNA". The record is from RNAcentral.